RNAcentral lists this ribosomal RNA (303 nucleotides) under uncultured Laccaria. Its description in RNAcentral is "eukaryotic LSU rRNA". The stretch from base 248 to 303 matches the Rfam family "Eukaryotic large subunit ribosomal RNA", at positions 1 to 56 of the family's 3401-position model. The record is from RNAcentral. Lineage: Eukaryota; Fungi; Basidiomycota; Agaricomycetes; Agaricales; Tricholomataceae.
GCCUUGGUAUUCCGAGGGCAUGCCUGUUGAGUGUCAUUAAAUUCUCAACCUUCCAGCUUUUAUUAGUUUGGUUAGGCUUGGAUGUGGGGGUUGCGGGCUUCAUCAAUGAGGUCGGCUCUCCUUAAAUGCAUUAGCAGAACUUUUGUGGACUGUCUAUUGGUGUGAUAAUUAUCUACGCCGUGGAUAUGAAGCAGCUUUAUGAAGUUCAGCUUCUAACCGUCCAUUGACUUGGACAAUUUUGACAAUUUGACCUCAAAUCAGGUAGGACUACCCGCUGAACUUAAGCAUAUCAAUAAGCGGAGG